CAGCAGCCACGGUAAUACGGAGGGUGCAAGCGUUAUCCGGAUUUAUUGGGUUUAAAGGGUCCGUAGGCGGACUUAUAAGUCAGUGGUGAAAGCCUGUCGCUUAACGAUAGAACUGCCAUUGAUACUGUAAGUCUUGAGUAUAUUUGAGGUAGCUGGAAUAAGUAGUGUAGCGGUGAAAUGCAUAGAUAUUACUUAGAACACCAAUUGCGAAGGCAGGUUACCAAGAUAUAACUGACGCUGAGGGACGAAAGCGUGGGUAGCGAACAGGAUUAGAUACCCCAGUAGUCCCUGUCUCUUAUAC
This 301-nucleotide ribosomal RNA is filed under the name uncultured bacterium. RNAcentral describes it as "partial 16S ribosomal RNA". It matches the Rfam family "Bacterial small subunit ribosomal RNA", at positions 509 to 807 of the family's 1533-position model. The record is from RNAcentral.